AACGUAGGAGGCAAGCGUUAUCCGGAUUCACUGGGCGUAAAGCGCGUGCAGGCGGUUCGGUAAGUUGGGCGUGAAAUCUCCUGGCUUAACUAGGAGAGGUCGUCCAAUACUACCGGACUUGAGAGUGAUAGAGGAAGAUGGAAUUCCCGGUGUAGUGGUGAAAUGCGUAGAUAUCGGGAGGAACACCAGUGGCGAAAGCGAUCUUCUGGAUCAUUUCUGACGCUCAGACGCGAAAGCUAGGGUAUAAACGGGAUUAGAGACCCCGGUAAUCCUAGCCGUAAACGAUGUAAACUUGGCGUCGGUGGCUUAAACUCCAUCGGUGCCGCAGCUAACGCGAUAAGUUACCGCCUGGGGACUACGAUCGCAAGAUUAAAACCUCAA
This 381-nucleotide ribosomal RNA is filed under the name uncultured bacterium. Its description in RNAcentral is "bacterial SSU rRNA". It matches the Rfam family "Bacterial small subunit ribosomal RNA", at positions 524 to 905 of the family's 1533-position model. The record is from RNAcentral.